UUCCACGAUUCUGAGCUCACAAUAGGAUUCUUUAUUAACCAAAUCAAGAAGCCAAACUAAAUAUCCCAAUAAAAACAAAAAAUUACGCACAAUUACAAAUAAAACACCAAAAGCAACUUAAUUAACUAAAUAAAACAUGCAAUGACUAACUAAAAUCAACCUAAAAUUGCAAACAAAAUACUCACAAAAUUUUGACAAAUCAAACCCCCUUUUUGAUAAAAUCAAUAUAUAUAUGUAUAUUAAAGGUAAAGCGAACAAAUAAGCGCACAAAAUCAUGCCAUGUAUUUAAGAAAGUAACUUAAAAUACUGCCAUUUGUCAUUUUCUUAGUCAAGUUGUCAUCAACAUCUAUUGACAUAUAUGCCACUAUUUAAACUGGAG
This 379-nucleotide unclassified non-coding RNA is filed under the name Hevea brasiliensis (rubber tree). Lineage: Eukaryota; Viridiplantae; Streptophyta; Magnoliopsida; Malpighiales; Euphorbiaceae. The record is from RNAcentral.